RNAcentral lists this ribosomal RNA (650 nucleotides) under uncultured bacterium. RNAcentral's name for it is "bacterial SSU rRNA". It matches the Rfam family "Bacterial small subunit ribosomal RNA", at positions 102 to 748 of the family's 1533-position model. The record is from RNAcentral.
ACGGGUGAGUAAUAUAUUGGAACGUACCGAGUAAUGGGGGAUAACCAAUCGAAAGAUUGGCUAAUACCGCAUACGCUCUGAGGAGGAAAGCAGGGGACCUUCGGGCCUUGCGUUAUUCGAGCGGCCAAUAUCUGAUUAGCUAGUUGGUGGGGUAAAGGCCUACCAAGGCGACGAUCAGUAGCGGGUCUGAGAGGAUGAUCCGCCACACUGGGACUGAGACACGGCCCAGACUCCUACGGGAGGCAGCAGUGGGGAAUAUUGCGCAAUGGGGGCAACCCUGACGCAGCCAUGCCGCGUGAAUGAAGAAGGCCUUCGGGUUGUAAAGUUCUUUCGGUAGCGAGGAAGGCAUUUAGUUUAAUAGACUAGGUGAUUGACGUUAACUACAGAAGAAGCACCGGCUAACUCCGUGCCAGCAGCCGCGGUAAUACGUAGGGUGCGAGCGUUAAUCGGAAUUACUGGGCGUAAAGCGAGCGCAGACGGUUACUUAAGCAGGAUGUGAAAUCCCCGGGCUCAACCUGGGAACUGCGUUCUGAACUGGGUGACUAGAGUGUGUCAGAGGGAGGUAGAAUUCCACGUGUAGCAGUGAAAUGCGUAGAGAUGUGGAGGAAUACCGAUGGCGAAGGCAGCCUCCUGGGAUAACACUGACGUUC